AAUGUUUUCAAUCCUACGUGGACAAUUCAGGGCUAUGGUGCGAGUGAAGCUGGCCAAACAAGAUCACAGAUCAAAUAUUUACUGCAAGCCACCUAAGGAAAAGAUCGGACCUGGGACGGUGUUUACUAUGUCCAUCUUUGCACUUGGUCUCCUGGUCCCUGCUGGUUGGAUCAUGUACCACAUCCCAGUAUACCGCCAAACACCACCUUCAGGAGUUUGAACUUAGGGACAACCUACAUCACUCACUCUCUGCCACAUCACAUAGCUUUUUGCUUGCUGAAAUAAAAUGUGAUUUCUCACUUGACAAAGUCUAAAUACAACAGUUCUGAAGUUUAUUUA
Ictalurus punctatus (channel catfish) is the source of this 339-nucleotide long non-coding RNA. RefSeq lists it as uncharacterized. The record is from RefSeq and is a predicted model, not a curated record. NCBI's taxonomy places the organism in Eukaryota, Metazoa, Chordata, Actinopteri, Siluriformes, Ictaluridae. The transcript is spliced from 2 exons.